This 431-nucleotide ribosomal RNA is filed under the name uncultured bacterium. RNAcentral's name for it is "bacterial SSU rRNA". It matches the Rfam family "Bacterial small subunit ribosomal RNA", at positions 924 to 1356 of the family's 1533-position model. The record is from RNAcentral.
UUUUCCCCCAAGGGGGGGGAGCAUGUGGUUUAAUUCGAUGAUACGCGAGGAACCUUACCAGGGCUUAAAUGCAUAAUGACAGAUUUGGAAACAAGUCCUUCUUCGGACAGAAUGCAAGGUGUUGCAUGGCGGUCGUCAGCUCGUGCCUUGAGGUGUCAGGUUAAGUCCUAUAACGAGCGCAACCCCUAUCUUUAGUUGCCACCGGGUUAAGCCGGGGACUCUAAAGAAACUGCCAGCGUAAGCUGGGAGGAAGGUGGGGACGACGUCAAGUCAUCACGGCCCUUACGCCCUGGGCCACACACGUGCUCCAAUGGUAAAUACAAAGGGCAGCUACUUGGCGACAAGAUGCUAAUCUUUAAAACUCAUUUCAGUUCGGAUUGGAGUUUGCAACUUGACUCCCGAAACUGAAUCGCUAGUAUCCGUACAGCCCA